This 253-nucleotide ribosomal RNA is filed under the name uncultured bacterium. Its description in RNAcentral is "partial 16S ribosomal RNA". It matches the Rfam family "Bacterial small subunit ribosomal RNA", at positions 524 to 776 of the family's 1533-position model. The record is from RNAcentral.
UACGAAGGGGGCUAGCGUUGUUCGGAUUUACUGGGCGUAAAGCGCACGUAGGCGGAUCGUUAAGUGAGGGGUGAAAUCCCAGGGCUCAACCCUGGAACUGCCCUUCAUACUGGCGAUCUCGAGUCCGGAAGAGGUGAGUGGAACUCCUAGUGUAGAGGUGGAAUUCGUAGAUAUUAGGAAGAACACCAGUGGCGAAGGCGGCUCACUGGUCCGGUACUGACGCUGAGGUGCGAAAGCGUGGGGAGCAAACAGG